GACGGAGGGGGCAAGCGUUGUUCGGAAUUAUUGGGCGUAAAGGGCGCGUAGGCGGAUCGGCGUGUCUGGCGUGAAAUCUCCACCACUCAACGGGGAGAGGCCGUCGGAAACUACCGAUCUGGAGUUCGGCAGAGGAUCAUGGAAUUCCGGGUGUAGCGGUGGAAUGCGUAGAUAUCCGGAAGAACACCGGUGGCGAAGGCGGUGAUCUGGGCCGAAACUGACGCUGAGGCGCGAAAGCUAGGGGAGCAAACGGG
This 254-nucleotide ribosomal RNA is filed under the name uncultured bacterium. RNAcentral describes it as "partial 16S ribosomal RNA". It matches the Rfam family "Bacterial small subunit ribosomal RNA", at positions 524 to 776 of the family's 1533-position model. The record is from RNAcentral.